GAAGCUGACCAGACAGUCGCCGCUUCGUCGUCGUCCUCUUCGGGGGAGACGGGCGGAGGGGAGGAAAGUCCGGGCUCCAUAGGGCAGGGUGCCAGGUAACGCCUGGGGGGGAAACCCACGACCAGUGCAACAGAGAGCAAACCGCCGAUGGCCCACGCAAGUGGGAUCAGGUAAGGGUGAAAGGGUGCGGUAAGAGCGCACCGCGCGGCUGGUAACAGUCCGUGGCACGGUAAACUCCACUCGGAGCAAGGCCAAAUAGGGGUUCACAAGGUACGGCCCGUACUGAACCCGGGUAGGCUGCUUGAGCCAGUGAGCGAUUGCUGGCCUAGAUGAAUGACUGUCCACGACAGAACCCGGCUUAUCGGUCAGCUUCACUC
Molecule: RNase P RNA, 377 nt
Filed under: Citrobacter freundii
Lineage: Bacteria; Pseudomonadati; Pseudomonadota; Gammaproteobacteria; Enterobacterales; Enterobacteriaceae
Description: RNase P RNA component class A
Rfam family: Bacterial RNase P class A
About the family: Ribonuclease P (RNase P) is a ubiquitous endoribonuclease, found in archaea, bacteria and eukarya as well as chloroplasts and mitochondria.
Source: RNAcentral